UGACCUCAGUUUCCACUGAAUAAUCCCUGC
RNAcentral lists this non-coding RNA (30 nucleotides) under Rattus norvegicus (Norway rat). The record is from RNAcentral. Lineage: Eukaryota; Metazoa; Chordata; Mammalia; Rodentia; Muridae.